CAUAUGAACCAGGGGUGCUGGAAUAACGGCCGGCUGAGAGUGUAUCCCGCAAAGAUACUGACCCUUAUACCUGAUCUGGAUAAUGCCAGCGUAGGAAUGACAUCGCCGUGCAGC
This is a regulatory RNA element of Paenibacillus stellifer, 114 nucleotides long. It matches the Rfam family "TPP riboswitch aptamer (THI element)". Rfam says of the family: Vitamin B(1) in its active form thiamin pyrophosphate (TPP) is an essential coenzyme that is synthesised by coupling of pyrimidine and thiazole moieties in bacteria. The previously detected thiamin-regulatory element, thi box was extended, resulting in a new, highly conserved RNA secondary structure, the THI element, which is widely distributed in eubacteria and also occurs in some archaea. NCBI's taxonomy places the organism in Bacteria, Bacillati, Bacillota, Bacilli, Caryophanales, Paenibacillaceae. The record is from Rfam.